CCUUGCCCUCAACCUUCUCUACCUCACAUCACCUCCUGCCUGGAUUAUCACACAGGCUUCCAUCUGGUCUUACAGGUGUGUUGACCUUUUUUAUCCAAGCAGAUUAAAAGCUUAUGAAAAGCAGAGGUCCUUUUUAUACUUUUCCAGCUCUCCAGGCUAGCAGAGUGCUGAACAGCAUUUGCAACUGAGAGCCUGUAUGUACCAUUUGAAGCCUGAUGAUCUUCCAAUUCUAAGGGGGACUUCAUAAUACUCACAAUCAUGCAUAGCUCUUGGCACUUCCAAGGAUGAAUGUGUUUGGCUGUGACAUGACUCCAGUGUCCUGGCCAGAAUUGCUUGGAACAAAGAUGAACCCUGACCAGUCCAACUCUUCCAAGUUGCAGUUUUUAAAAUGAAGUUACCGGAGUUCUAGUUACAUUUGCAUGUUUUGCCUUCUUCUAACUCAUUUAACCCAUAAGCGCUUUCC
Long non-coding RNA from Bos taurus (domestic cattle), 463 nucleotides. NCBI's taxonomy places the organism in Eukaryota, Metazoa, Chordata, Mammalia, Artiodactyla, Bovidae. The record is from Ensembl.